Molecule: ribosomal RNA, 387 nt
Filed under: uncultured bacterium
Lineage: Bacteria
Description: bacterial SSU rRNA
Rfam family: Bacterial small subunit ribosomal RNA
Source: RNAcentral
AUUGAACGCUGGCGGCAUGCCUUACACAUGCAAGUCGAACGGCAGCACGGGAGCAAUCCUGGUGGCGAGUGGCGAACGGGUGAGUAAUAUAUCGGAACGUGCCCAGUCGUGGGGGAUAACGUAGCGAAAGCUACGCUAAUACCGCAUACGAUCUACGGAUGAAGGCGGGGGAUCGCAAGACCUCGCGCGAUUGGAGCGGCCGAUAUCAGAUUAGGUAGUUGGUGAGGUAAAGGCUCACCAAGCCGACGAUCUGUAGCUGGUCUGAGAGGACGACCAGCCACACUGGGACUGAGACACGGCCCAGACUCCUACGGGAGGCAGCAGUGGGGAAUUUUGGACAAUGGGCGCAAGCCUGAUCCAGCAAUGCCGCGUGCAGGAUGAAGGCCU